This 715-nucleotide long non-coding RNA is filed under the name Marmota monax (woodchuck). The record is from RNAcentral. Lineage: Eukaryota; Metazoa; Chordata; Mammalia; Rodentia; Sciuridae.
GAGUCGUUCUGGAAGGGGCAGGGAAAUGAUGGCAUCUGGGUGUGGCUCAGUUGUCAUCAAGACCCCGACUCCCGGUUCUGGAGAACGGCUGCUCCCCAGGCCCCAUGUGCCGGUGUGGCCUUGGGUUGGACAGAAUUUGGGGCUCGCAGAGUUGGCUGUUCCCCUCACGGUGCCCAGGUGACCUCACGGUGCCCAGGUGACCUCCAGCCGACUCACACCAGGCGGCGUCCUCAGAUCAGGAGCUGCCUCGAGGCUCCGCGAGGCCUCAGGGGGGCCCUGGGCCUGAGUGUGAGGUCCCCCCACCGGUCGUGGUUAUGUAUCUGGGGAUCAAAAUGCCCCCCGGCCGGCCACCAUUUCUUGGGGACCUUAGGGUCAGUCCGAUGCCAACACCGGGUCACAGUCAACUUACCUACUGGGACCUCAAAGAAGAAUUCUGCCUUUUCAUCCACAAGUGGCCGUCACCUGUCACCCCCACGGCACGGCCAGGAAAAUGCCUUCUCUGGGACAACUGGUUUCCCGUCGCCACACGUUGCUCAACUCUUUAUGACCGUGGCCUCGCAGCCUCCCGGGCUUGGCCUCCGAGCUUGGCCUCCGUCCGCACAGAGGGAGCCUGGCAGAGGGAGCCUGGCGUGGCCUUCCCCGAGGCCUGCUCAGGGGUGACCGGAGGGACACAAGGAAUUGGAAAGGAUCCAGCGAGGGCCGGGAGUGGGUUCAG